Molecule: ribosomal RNA, 302 nt
Filed under: uncultured bacterium
Lineage: Bacteria
Description: partial 16S ribosomal RNA
Rfam family: Bacterial small subunit ribosomal RNA
Source: RNAcentral
GCAGUAGCCGCGGUAAUACAGAGGGUGCGAGCGUUAAUCGGAUUUACUGGGCGUAAAGCGUGCGUAGGCGGCUUUUUAAGUCGGAUGUGAAAUCCCUGAGCUUAACUUAGGAAUUGCAUUCGAUACUGGGAAGCUAGAGUAUGGGAGAGGAUGGUAGAAUUCCAGGUGUAGCGGUGAAAUGCGUAGAGAUCUGGAGGAAUACCGAUGGCGAAGGCAGCCAUCUGGCCUAAUACUGACGCUGAGGUACGAAAGCAUGGGGAGCAAACAGGAUUAGAUACCCGAGUAGUCCCUGUCUCUUAUAC